AUCAUGGAGAGUUUGAUCCUGGCUCAGAACGAACGCUGGCGGCGCGUCUUAAGCAUGCAAGUCGAGCGGGUAGCAGUAAUGCGAAAGCGGCGGACUGGUGAGUAACGCGUGGGUGAUCUACCCUAGGGUUGGGGAUAGCCGCUAGAAAUAGCGGAUAAUACCGAAUAUCUUUAUGGAUCUUGAUUCAUAAAGAAAGGCGCUUCGGUGCCGCCCAAGGAUGAGCUCGCGUCCUAUUAGCCUGUUGGUGGGGUAAAGGCCUACCAAAGCUAUGAUAGGUAGCCGGCCUGAGAGGGUGAACGGCCACAUUGGGACUGAGAUACGGCCCAAACUCCUACGGGAGGCAGCAGCUAAGAAUAUUCCGCAAUGGACGAAAGUCUGACGGAGCGACG
Molecule: ribosomal RNA, 389 nt
Filed under: Spirochaetaceae bacterium
Lineage: Bacteria; Pseudomonadati; Spirochaetota; Spirochaetia; Spirochaetales; Spirochaetaceae
Description: bacterial SSU rRNA
Rfam family: Bacterial small subunit ribosomal RNA
Source: RNAcentral